UUAAUUCAAGUGACUUCAAUUUUAUUUUUUCAUAGAAUCUUCAGAAGGUGGGAGAAGUGUCAGGUAGAAUGUCUCCCCAUCCCUCUUCCCACCAAGCCAAAUCACUCAAGAACCGGGAUCCAGGAAAUGAGUAGUAGUAGACCAUCAGUGGUACCAUUGUGUACAGUUGGUCACAGCACCGUGCCAAUGAGCCAGGGUCUGAGCACUGACUUCUGCAAGGGCCAAUUAAUUGACAUUUGUCCCGAGAACGGAGGCAGCACUCUUAACUGCAAACUGCUUUUUUACAACGCAUCCCACUGUCAGAAGACAAGGUCCUGGCAAGGUGGCUGGUGGAUGAAAACAGGUCUAUCUACACUAACGGAGGGGGUGGGGGGGGAACCCCAAACAAACCAUGUAUGCUACGGAUGGAAGUUAAUGGAAUCUUAUCUGUAAAGGAAAAGCAGUAUAUAUUCUUAGCCUUAUGCUUCAACACGGUUCAAGUCUGAAAUAGUUAAUGACAGUUAACAGCUGACUUGAUCUUGGAACUAGUAACAUCUCACAGCAAUCUACAG
This 551-nucleotide long non-coding RNA is filed under the name Rattus norvegicus (Norway rat). RNAcentral's name for it is "long non-coding RNA NONRATT006632". The record is from RNAcentral. Lineage: Eukaryota; Metazoa; Chordata; Mammalia; Rodentia; Muridae.